This 433-nucleotide ribosomal RNA is filed under the name uncultured bacterium. RNAcentral describes it as "partial 16S ribosomal RNA". It matches the Rfam family "Bacterial small subunit ribosomal RNA", at positions 28 to 507 of the family's 1533-position model. The record is from RNAcentral.
GACGAGCGCUGGCGGCAGGCCUAACACAUGCAAGUCGAGCGGACCUUUCGGGGUCAGCGGCGGACGGGUGAGUAACGCGUGGGAAUAUGCCCUUCUCUACGGAAUAGUCCUGGGAAACUGGGGGUAAUACCGUAUACGCCCUUUGGGGGAAAGAUUUAUCGGGGAAGGAUUAGCCCGCGUUGGAUUAGGUAGUUGGUGGGGUAAUGGCCUACCAAGCCGACGAUCCAUAGCUGGUUUGAGAGGAUGAUCAGCCACACUGGGACUGAGACACGGCCCAGACUCCUACGGGAGGCAGCAGUGGGGAAUCUUAGACAAUGGGGGCAACCCUGAUCUAGCCAUGCCGCGUGAGUGAUGAAGGCCUUAGGGUUGUAAAGCUCUUUCAGCUGGGAAGAUAAUGACGGUACCAGCAGAAGAAGCCCCGGCUAACUCCGUG